UGAACGCUGGCGGCAGGCUUAACACAUGCAAGUCGAACGAUGAUUAUUCAGCUUGCUGAAUAUGAUUAGUGGCGGACGGGUGAGUAAUGCCUAGGAAUCUGCCCAGUAGUGGGGGACAACAGCCGGAAACGGCUGCUAAUACCGCAUACGCCCUACGGGGGAAAGGGGGCUCUUCGGAGCUCUCGCUAUUGGAUGAGCCUAGGUCAGAUUAGCUAGUUGGUGGGGUAAAGGCCUACCAAGGCGACGAUCUGUAGCUGGUCUGAGAGGAUGAUCAGCCACACUGGGACUGAGACACGGCCCAGACUCCUACGGGAGGCAGCAGUGGGGAAUAUUGGACAAUGGGGGCAACCCUGAUCCAGCCAUGCCGCGUGUGUGAAGAAGGCCUUUUGGUUGUAAAGCACUUUAAGCAGGGAGGAAAAGCUCGUAGUUAAUACCUGCGAGCCAUGACGUUACCUGCAGAAUAAGCACCGGCUAACUCUGUGCCAGCAGCCGCGGUAAUACAGAGGGUGCAAGCGUUAAUCGGAAUUACUGGGCGUAAAGCGCGCGUAGGUGGCUUAAUAAGUCAGAUGUGAAAGCCCCGGGCUUAACCUGGGAACUGCAUCUGAUACUGUUAGGCUCGAGUAUGGGAGAGGGAAGUAGAAUUUCAGGUGUAGCGGUGAAAUGCGUAGAGAUCUGAAGGAAUACCGAUGGCGAAGGCAGCUUCCUGGGCCUAAUACUGACACUGAGGUGCGAAAGCGUGGGUAGCAAACAGGAUUAGAUACCCUGGUAGUCCACGCCGUAAACGAUGUCUACUAGCCGUUGGGGCCCUUGAGGCCUUAGUGGCGCAGCUAACGCAAUAAGUAGACCGCCUGGGGAGUACGGCCGCAAGGUUAAAACUCAAAUGAAUUGACGGGGGCCCGCACAAGCGGUGGAGCAUGUGGUUUAAUUCGACGCAACGCGAAGAACCUUACCUGGUCUUGACAUCCUGCGAACUUACUAGAGAUAGUUUGGUGCCUUCGGGAACGCAGUGACAGGUGCUGCAUGGCUGUCGUCAGCUCGUGUCGUGAGAUGUUGGGUUAAGUCCCGCAACGAGCGCAACCCUUUUCCUUAGUUACCAGCGGUUCGGCCGGGCACUUUAAGGAUACUGCCAGUGACAAACUGGAGGAAGGCGGGGACGACGUCAAGUCAUCAUGGCCCUUACGACCAGGGCUACACACGUGCUACAAUGGCAAGUACAGAGGGUCGCUAACCUGCGAGGGUAUGCUAAUCUCACAAAGCUUGUCGUAGUCCGGAUCGGAGUCUGCAACUCGACUCCGUGAAGUCGGAAUCGCUAGUAAUCGCGGAUCAGAAUGCCGCGGUGAAUACGUUCCCGGGCCUUGUACACACCG
RNAcentral lists this ribosomal RNA (1367 nucleotides) under uncultured marine bacterium. RNAcentral's name for it is "16S ribosomal RNA". It matches the Rfam family "Bacterial small subunit ribosomal RNA", at positions 30 to 1392 of the family's 1533-position model. The record is from RNAcentral.